RNAcentral lists this transfer RNA (77 nucleotides) under SAR116 cluster bacterium. RNAcentral describes it as "tRNA-Arg". It matches the Rfam family "tRNA". From Rfam's summary of the family: Transfer RNA (tRNA) molecules are approximately 80 nucleotides in length. Their secondary structure includes four short double-helical elements and three loops (D, anti-codon, and T loops). The record is from RNAcentral. Lineage: Bacteria; Pseudomonadati; Pseudomonadota; Alphaproteobacteria; Puniceispirillales (SeqCode).
GGGGGCGUAGCUCAUCAGGAUAGAGCGUGAGAUUCCUAAUCUCAAGGUAACAGGUUCGAGUCCUGUCGUCCUCACCA